CCUGGGUGGCUGCAGUGGGGAAUAUUGGACAAUGGGCGAAAGCCUGAUCCAGCCAUGCCGCGUGUGUGAAGAAGGCCUUCGGGUUGUAAAGCACUUUCAGUGGGGAAGAAAGCCUUGGGGCUAAUACCCUCGAGGAAGGACAUCACCCACAGAAGAAGCACCGGCUAACUCCGUGCCAGCAGCCGCGGUAAUACGGAGGGUGCGAGCGUUAAUCGGAAUUACUGGGCGUAAAGCGCGCGUAGGCGGUCUGAUAAGCCGGUUGUGAAAGCCCCGGGCUCAACCUGGGAACGGCAUCCGGAACUGUCAGGCUAGAGUGCAGGAGAGGAAGGUAGAAUUCCCGGUGUAGCGGUGAAAUGCGUAGAGAUCGGGAGGAAUACCAGUGGCGAAGGCGGCCUUCUGGACUGACACUGACGCUGAGGUGCGAAAGCGUGGGUAGCAAACAGGAUUAGAUACCCGAGUAGUC
This 463-nucleotide ribosomal RNA is filed under the name Vreelandella stevensii. Its description in RNAcentral is "partial 16S ribosomal RNA". It matches the Rfam family "Bacterial small subunit ribosomal RNA", at positions 338 to 795 of the family's 1533-position model. The record is from RNAcentral. Lineage: Bacteria; Pseudomonadati; Pseudomonadota; Gammaproteobacteria; Oceanospirillales; Halomonadaceae.